Molecule: unclassified non-coding RNA, 328 nt
Filed under: soil metagenome
Description: partial contains 5.8S ribosomal RNA, internal transcribed spacer 2, and large subunit ribosomal RNA
Rfam family: 5.8S ribosomal RNA (bases 1-120)
Source: RNAcentral
GAUGAAGAACGUAGCGAAAUGCGAUACUUGGUGUGAAUUGCAGAAUUCAGUGAAUCAUCGAAUCUUUGAACGCACAUUGCGCCCCUUGGUAUUCCGAGGGGCAUGCCUGUUCGAGCGUCAUUAUAACCCUCAAGCUCAGCUUGGUGUUGGGGCCUGCUGCACUGGCAGCCCUUAAAAUCAGUGGCGGCGCCAUCUGGCUCUAAGCGUAGUAAUUCUUCUCGCUAUGGAGUCCUGGUGGAUGCUUGCCAUCAACCCCCAAUUUUUCUAUGGUUGACCUCGGAUCAGGUAGGGAUACCCGCUGAACUUAAGCAUAUCAAUAAGCGGAGGA